RNAcentral lists this ribosomal RNA (497 nucleotides) under uncultured bacterium. RNAcentral describes it as "partial 16S ribosomal RNA". It matches the Rfam family "Bacterial small subunit ribosomal RNA", at positions 28 to 507 of the family's 1533-position model. The record is from RNAcentral.
GAUGAACGCUGGCGGCGUGCCUAAUACAUGCAAGUCGAGCGAACAGACGAGGAGCUUGCUCCUCUGACGUUAGCGGCGGACGGGUGAGUAACACGUGGAUAACCUACCUAUAAGACUGGGAUAACUUCGGGAAACCGGAGAUAAUACCGGAUAACAUGUUGAACCGCAUGGUUCAACAGUGAAAGACGGUCUUGCUGUCACUUAUAGAUGGAUCCGCGCCGCAUUAGCUAGUUGGUAAGGUAACGGCUUACCAAGGCAACGAUGCGUAGCCGACCUGAGAGGGUGAUCGGCCACACUGGAACUGAGACACGGUCCAGACUCCUACGGGAGGCAGCAGUAGGGAAUCUUCCGCAAUGGGCGAAAGCCUGACGCAGCCACGCCGCGUGAGUGAUGAAGGUCUUCGGAUCGUAAAACUCUGUUAUUAGGGAAGAACAAAUGUGUAAGUAACUAUGCACGUCUUGACGGUACCUAAUCAGAAAGCCACGGCUAACUACGUG